CGACCAUAUCAUACCGGUUCUCGCAAGGUCACCAAAGUUAAGCAAUGUCAAGCCAGGUCAGUACCUUGAUGGGUGGCCGCUUGGGAAUACCAGCUGCUGUAAG
This is a non-coding RNA of Acanthosepion pharaonis, 103 nucleotides long. The record is from the annotation of a GenBank genome assembly. NCBI's taxonomy places the organism in Eukaryota, Metazoa, Mollusca, Cephalopoda, Sepiida, Sepiidae.